UACGAAUGGAGCGAGCGUUGUUCGGAAUCACUGGGCGUAAAGCGUGCGCAGGCUGUUGUGAAAGUUAGGAGUGAAAGCCCCGGGCUUAACCCGGGAAUUGCUUUUAAAACUACACAACUAGAGUACUGGAGAGGUUGGCGGAAUUCCGAGUGUAGCAGUGAAAUGCGUAGAUAUUCGGAGGAACACCGAUGGCGUAGGCAGCCAACUGGACAGUAACUGACGCUCAUGCACGAAAGCGUGGGGAUCAAACAGG
Molecule: ribosomal RNA, 253 nt
Filed under: uncultured bacterium
Lineage: Bacteria
Description: partial 16S ribosomal RNA
Rfam family: Bacterial small subunit ribosomal RNA
Source: RNAcentral